This 73-nucleotide transfer RNA is filed under the name Prototheca moriformis. RNAcentral's name for it is "tRNA-Arg". It matches the Rfam family "tRNA". Rfam says of the family: Transfer RNA (tRNA) molecules are approximately 80 nucleotides in length. RNAcentral also lists the same sequence under 1 other name. The record is from RNAcentral. Lineage: Eukaryota; Viridiplantae; Chlorophyta; Trebouxiophyceae; Chlorellales; Chlorellaceae.
GUGUUUGUAACUCAGUGGCUAGAGUGUAUGGCUACGAACCAUAAGGUCGGGGGUUCAACUCCCUCCAAACACA